Molecule: long non-coding RNA, 440 nt
Organism: Mauremys reevesii (Reeves's turtle)
Lineage: Eukaryota; Metazoa; Chordata; Testudines; Geoemydidae
Exons: 3
Source: RefSeq, a predicted model, not a curated record
CCCUUCAUCAUGGAGUAAGUGGUUCACAUUAGAGAAAAGAUAGAAAGCAACUGAACUGGAAGGAAUCAUGUUGCAGAGAUCUUCUCUUCAUUCUUUCCACUGUCUGAGUGCAACUGCCCCUUAGGUCCCCCAGGGGGCUAAGCUACAAGCUACAUGAGAGGGAGGGAUUCCGACAGCAGGAUAUUGGAGGUGGGGGGAUGGAAAUAGCUGCGUACUGAACAGUCUCGCUCUUCUCUGCAGGUGUUAUGGCCAAGGCUUCUCGAAUAUGUGGUGCCAGUUCAGUACACUGGUACUUUGAAGACUCUCUGCAGAUGCCUUAGGGAGCUGGCUGAGAAAAAGCAGCAGGAAGGAGAAGAAGCUGCUUGCCUUGACUACGGUGGACCAGUGAAACUCCCUACACCCCAGGGGCUGCUGGCACGACUCCUGGUAGUAGCCUCGUC